UUGCAUCAAGUGUCUCGUUAAACUUUUUAUCUCUGAGGUAUAUCUGUUCUUCUAUCCCUUCGGGGUAUCUAUUUUCUCUUCCCCCAUUUGGUUUGAAAAGACGUAAGAGGACCGCUUCUAGUGAAUGACGACAUACCCUUUGACAAGAGUGGUACACGAAUAUCUGUUAGGGGUCACCCUUGAUUAAGUACUGUCGUGACUGUAGAUAUCUGAUAGGGGUACUAUGGCUGGUACGGUCAUGGUUGUAGAUCAUACCAUGGUUUGGCCAGGCGAAAAUGGGCCUGAGUAAAUUGCCAUAUCUAUAUCUGAUCUGGUUAU
This 318-nucleotide long non-coding RNA is filed under the name Carica papaya (papaya). RNAcentral's name for it is "long non-coding RNA (CPAP_LNC006779)". Lineage: Eukaryota; Viridiplantae; Streptophyta; Magnoliopsida; Brassicales; Caricaceae. The record is from RNAcentral.